Molecule: transfer RNA, 70 nt
Filed under: Brahmaea hearseyi
Lineage: Eukaryota; Metazoa; Arthropoda; Insecta; Lepidoptera; Brahmaeidae
Description: tRNA-Leu
Source: RNAcentral
ACUAUUUUGGCAGAGAAAAUGUAAUGGUUUUAGAAGUCAUAAAUAUAUAAAUUAAUUUAUAUAAAUAGUA